ACCACCCCGACAUACGUUUUUACUGGCCCCGGGCCAUCGGGCUAUUGCUUAUGUCGAGCCCACAUGACUGGUAACGUUAUGCUGGAAAAUAGCGGCAUCCCAGCCACAUUGAUUGCACUACUGUAGCCACUCUAAAAACAUAGUAUUUGAGUUGCCAGUAAAUGUCUUGAUAAAAAAUCUCCUAAAAAUAUAUUACCUAAAAACCGAAACAGGGAAGACACCGCCCCUGCUGGUCAUUUACCGAAAACAUCAAAGUGAGGCUUAGGUAAUCGCUUGUUUUCGCCUUCUAGAGGACAAUUUAAGAUGUUAAGAUGAUCUACGUCUACCUCGAUGAGCUCCCCGAUGCCGAGAUCUGAAACCAAACCAGAGCAGGCUCAAGGAAGUUCUCAUUCAGGUUGCGCAGUGCUGAGGGAAAGAGGAGAUAUCUGACAUUGACUGAGUACUCUGCCAUAAAGGUGCCAUGGUGUGGAACACUAUAGAACAUAAUGCCCUUGGUGUUCUUUAACAGUCCAUGCAUAUCUGGGUCCUCUGAGGCAUCCAGCAGCAUUUUCUUCACAAGCAAUCCUGAUGGAAAAAUCAAACACAAGAGGAUACAAACAGACAGUGAGCACAACUUUUGUGAGCUGCCCCGAGAAUCCCAUGGAUGAAGAGCACGUCUGCUUUGAUUGGCUGGCUGGAAAUGAACACAUAGUCAAAGGUUGGCCAGAGCGCGGGCUGCAUGAGAUGCCUGCAUGACAUGAGGAGACUGCAUCAUCUCAGCCAGGACAGAUACCCAGCCUGAAGGGAGUCUCUACGAAGCUGAUAAACCCUCUGGAGGAGCUGAAGACCCCCAUUGGCAACUAUUUGGUCACAGUGGCUCUGGACCUGCAGACAGGAUGUGUUUCAGUAAGUUCAGAACAUUUAUUCACCUUAGCAAUCAAAAUCAACCACAGUCUCUGCAGGAGUUAUUCCACUGAGAUGGUUUUUCAGGUAUUCACCAAAUUAACUGUUGAGGUAAAAGUUGUUUCUGUUCAGAAAACUAUGAAAUUCAACUCAGUUCAGUGUGUAGUGGACACCGUUAAAGCACUGUUCUAUAAAUACUUGCAUGCUGCCAAGAGGGCCUCCAACCAUGAAGAUCCACUGAAUUAACUGAACUAAACAAAAGGUGGUUUGUGUUUUUAUUGAGCUUGUUAUUUUUUCAAUGUUGGGGGAAGAUGCACAAUAUGUGCUGUUAAAUGCACGUCUGGGUUGUGUUUAACAGAUAAUUGGAGUUAGAUCAUGUUUAGAUGCGCCAUCAUUACCUUUGAGUGCUGUACCAAUGCCUGUAGGCAGAAAGAUUCCACCUUCUCAGAGGGAACAGAGGUGAGGCUCUGGGCGUAAGGCAGCCCAUUACCUCCGAAACACCACAGACCACCCUAAGACAUAGGAAGGUGUAUGCAUUAGUAAGAGGAUUUAAAUAUUUGAAUUUUCAACCCUUUUUUUUCAAAAAGACAAUGUAGAAGUGCAUGUGUGAAUCCAUGUUUCUGUCUCAAUUACCCGUUGUGCUGCCAAGGACUGAGUGCUCUCUCUGAGGGCCAGUGAGGUGAAGUACUGAACACAUUUGUCCACCUCCGACUGAGGCAGAGAUGCCAGCAGCUGCCUCAGUCCAUCCUCUGCUGACAAACCCUGUGAAGAAGUCAACACACCUAGUUAUCAUCUUAUAUACCUGUGAGAUUUAAUUUAAAGCUAAGGUAAAUGAUCAAUAGUGAUGAAUAGCUUGUGCAGAAAAUAUAAAAAUGUAUAUCCCAUUAUGUUUAGUAUAGAAACAAAGUCUGUGAAUAAGUGUGCUUUGCAAGUAAUAGAGAUAUUGAGGCAUUCUACAUAAUAGACAGAUCAACAGAGAAACUUACAUCCUCAAGGUCAGGCAGUGCAGGUGAGCGCAAGAAGAAUCUAUGGUCUACCUGGGGAGUCCGGGCCAGGCCCACUGCUGUUCCUUGGUCUAUAACCUGGGCUGCUGUCUGGUACUGGUAGUCUGAGUUAUUGACAACAGGUAUGAACUAAUCACACUUUACUUGUUGUAUAUACUGUAAGCCUGAAGUAAUGCGCAACAAUUUCUAUGUAUUUUACCGUGCCAGUGGUGAUUUUCUGCAAGUUCCUGAACAGCCUGUAGUCUGAUAGCUUUGUUGGCUGACCGUGUCCUCUUUAGUAAGACCCAUAAUGCCACCUCAUGUGGGUCUGCAUCUACAUGGCUGAAGUGCUCUAAGGACAUACAAAUAGAGAGCGUACGGACAGGCUAAACAUUUCACAGAACAAAGUGGAUACAGGGUACUACAAACAUUCCUAAAAAAGGCACUGUGAAAUUGCAUUCCAACUGUAUCUACCGUGACUAACUACUAGUAUCUUUACAGCACCAAUUUCAGAUUAUUACAACAGCCAGGAAGUUACAAACCUUGUGGUCUCAAACCUUGUGUCAUCAACUUGGCAGCUAUUUAUUUUAAAAAAGUAAAAAGUUAAUUUAUUAGAUGUCUUACAUGUCUGUUCUAUAAUGUUAAAAAAGCUGUGUAUUUACAAUUAGAGUGAUUAAUACAGAGCUAAUAUAAGGUGGACAAAGUAUUCAUGUAUAAUACAGACAAUUGCCAAUAUGCACAUUGGCGCACAAACUAUAAGGCAUUCAAAACAGGAUGUGCACGUACAAGGCAGGUGUUUCCUUUUGCCGUAAUGUGCACACCCCACAUAAAAAUGAAUGGGUGACUGUACUGUUUUCUGAGAAUAAAUAUUUGUGCUUCUAUUAGCAGCAACUUCUGCUUUCCAAUCUUAGAAACAUGAGGGCCAGUACUACGGUCAUACACUGUGUACUUUUAGUGUGAUUUUCAGGUGAACUGGUACAGUAUAAUGAUAACCUUUGGUUUCUUACCGUCUAGUGUUUGCAGGAAAACCCUAGAUGAUAUUUCCAGAAACCGCCUUGCUGCUUUAUGAAGUUCCCUCCUUGCUUUGUGUGUGAGCCCUAGACACAUAGUGUAAAAUAAAAAAUAAAAAGUCAACCAAGGUAACAGAAGCCAUUUAGUAAUGGUUGCUAGUAGGCAUCUCAGUAUAUAGGUUGGUAGUUGAUCAUUUCCAUUAAAUAAGAGAAACUUGACCAGUGGAAGUGAGAUCACUCAACAGACUGACCCGAUUAUUCAAGCAGGAAAGAUAGUAGAGAGGGGAAGGAAGGAAAGACAGUUAUGAUAACAGACAUCACUGGGCACCUGGACAUGGCAAACUCAGUAUGACUUUGUGCUCAUACAAAAAAAAAGAAGGAAAAAAAAAGCCACUCAGCAUAUUCCUGAUGUCACCCAGCUGGUCUGGGAAGUCCAAAAACAAAACAUCUAAACUAAAACAAAAUCUCAAAAUGGUCUUUAAUUCUUUUCAGUUUUGUAAGGUGAUUAAAAAAGGGACACAUGCUAUUUUCCUAGUUUAGCAAUAAAGUCUAGAUGGAUGACAUCCAGUACCUGCAGUAAGAUUUUCCUUUUCAUCUGAGGGAGUGGCUGUCAGAUAGAUGUAAGACUUGUAUUUCUCCUGAAGAAUGGCACUAGUGUCAAUGGUCACAGCCUUGUUCAAGGCCACCACUUCAUAUGUGAUCAAAAGACAGCCUCUGUAGAAAGGGAAUGGAUAAGAUGAGUCAGUCUAGAUGAUUUUUUUUUUAACCAUUGAAGACAAGGAUUAAAAUCUUUAUGCAAAUAUUGUAACAAACUUACCCCGAGACAACGGCACCAGUUACUUUAGCAACCUUCCCUAAAUGUCAGCAGAAAAAGUAAUCUAUAUUUAGAUAAAAUUGGAUAACGUUAAGGGUGUUAAGCUGUAACUUUACUCACAGAAGCAUUAAGGUUGAAUCCAUGUAAUUAGAUAUCGGAGAUUGCAGACAAUAAGCAGCAUACACGUAGGCCAGUUAUGUCUAAUAACUUACUUAAAUCCUUCCACUGAAGCACUUUCCUGACUCCAGGCGGCCCAGCUGUGCUCAGUCUCCGACAGCGGAUCAAACGUAGAGCUGCACCAGACAUCCUCCGCCUGCAUGUCACCCGGUAUGUUUAGGAGACGUUAAAUCAGUCCGCCACAGAGGAAUAACAACUUAUUUCAAGCACACUAGAAACUUACAUAUCAUAGGGCCAGACGUGAGACCAAUUAUACUUUUGCCAAAACUAAUUUAACGUAACGCACGUAGCUAUAUAAAUAGCGGUCUAUUAGUUAACGUUACGUUACCUGAUGAAAAAAGACCCUGGUAAUCCAGCUACCAGGCUCUAAUUACCAAACAAGCAGCAGUAUCAACAUUAAAACAAUGUGUGAACCAUCUAACAUUAUAAUAAACUAACUAAUGUAAGAAAUAAAACCAUUCACAAGUCUUCUUACUACCUGCUUUUCACUUGGAUUAAACUGCCACCUCAACGGUCAGUCAUUCAGCUUGAUGUUACACUAAAGCAAGCUGUGUGACACUCGUAACGCUAACAUAAACUCUAAAGUUAAACUGUAACAACGGGUCAAGCUAAAUUACCCGUUAGCUAACACUAACUAACUAAGAUUAGCUUUUGGCUAACGUUUCACUUUCAGGGCUUUCCGCCAGCUUACUAACAGUUAACUACACAGCUAUAGCCGAUUAAGGUAACCAUUUUCGUGCGGUUUCAUUUUCAUUAAUGAACAGAUAUUACCUUAUUUAUAGAGGACUACCGUGAUGUUCUUGACUGCAGCGCCCGGCCCCGGCCCCCGACCGGUGUUCAUAAACACUUGUCUCACAAAUAACACGUCAUCAAACGCGAGCAGAUUUUUUUUAUAGUAACAUAGUAACCAAGGUUUGUGGAACAUUGUGCCAAAUUUUAUCUUUGAAAAACUUGGUAAAAUCACAUUCUUGCUUCAAUGCCCAUACUCCAUUAACAGACUGCCAGUUAAAUUGUCAAACUUCCAUAAACAGGCUCUAACUUGUUGGUCUCUUCUAUACAAACACAAUUUCUCCCCUCAUAAAUGUUUUAUCUGGAACAACAUGAACAUCAUAUAUAGGAACAAGACACUCUUUAUAGAAAACUGGUUUAAACAUGAUAUUCUAUUGGUAUCCCAAUUAUUAAAUAACUCAAAUCACAUUUUAUCUUAUGACGACUUCACCCAUAAAUUUAAUUUCCAUCCUCUAAGAAAAGAAUUUGAUAUUGUAACCAGAGCUAUACCCCAUGGGAUCAUCACCCUGC
This is a long non-coding RNA of Perca flavescens (yellow perch), 5165 nucleotides long. RefSeq lists it as uncharacterized. The transcript is spliced from 7 exons. Lineage: Eukaryota; Metazoa; Chordata; Actinopteri; Perciformes; Percidae. The record is from RefSeq and is a predicted model, not a curated record.